UACGUAGGGGGCUAGCGUUGUCCGGAUUUAUUGGGCGUAAAGAGCGUGUAGGCGGUCAGGUAGGUCCGUUGUGAAAACUCGAGGCUCAACCUCGAGACGUCGGCGGAAACCCUCUGGCUAGAGUCCGGAAGAGGAGAGUGGAAUUCCUGGUGUAGCGGUGAAAUGCGCAGAUAUCAGGAAGAACACCCGUGGCGAAGGCGGCUCUCUGGGACGGUACUGACGCUGAGACGCGAAAGCGUGGGGAGCAAACAGG
RNAcentral lists this ribosomal RNA (253 nucleotides) under uncultured bacterium. RNAcentral's name for it is "partial 16S ribosomal RNA". It matches the Rfam family "Bacterial small subunit ribosomal RNA", at positions 524 to 776 of the family's 1533-position model. The record is from RNAcentral.